This 900-nucleotide unclassified non-coding RNA is filed under the name Daphnia magna. RNAcentral describes it as "dNA polymerase theta-like, transcript variant X4". The record is from RNAcentral. Lineage: Eukaryota; Metazoa; Arthropoda; Branchiopoda; Diplostraca; Daphniidae.
GCCAGGUGGCAUAUGAGUAGCAUAUUUCUAUGAAAUCUUUUUAUGGCUGUCUGCUGUCUGCUUAACUGGGCAUUGAUGGCAGGUUAAUUUUUAAAAAGUUUGUACUUCAAAUAUAGGAACUAUCUUGCUUUCGGCGGAUUAUUCUCAGUUGGAACUUCGAAUAUUGGCGCAUUUGAGCGAAGACGCAGGUCUUUGUUCUGUUCUUAGCCAACCCGAUGGCGAUGUUUUCCGCGGCAUUGUAUCGGUUUGGAAAAAGAAAAAGCAAGAAGAAGUCAGAGACGAUGAAAGGCAAAAAGCGAAACAAAUCUUCUACGGGAUUGUUUACGGCAUGGGAUGUAAAAGUUUAGCCGAACAGUUGGAAGUCGGGGAAGAAGAGGCUCAACUCUUUGUUAACACUUUCCACGCAAGGUAUCCUAGUCAACCGAUGUGGAAAAAAAUUCAGGAGGAAAAUGAAUUGAACUGCUGACAUUGGCCUAUUCUGGAAUACAUCAGUUUGCAUCAUAAUCAGAAAGGACAAGAGAAGGAAAACGCUGGAACUGUGUGCUACAAUCAUGAUUCUUCUUAUAUUCUCCUCCGCUGGAAAACGAUACUUUAUUGUGUCAUGACCAAGAUGCUUAACAGGCGUCGGAAAAAAAAAAAAAGAGGUUUGUCUUCCAACAAAUGAAUACAGACUUACUUGACUCCCAAUUACAACUCGAAAGGUCAAGCGUUGGAAUGGGAUUGGCACCCCAUUGCAAUGCAAGACUGAAUAGAGAGGUAAGAGCCCUCAGCUGAUGUCACGAUGUGGAUCAUAUAGUACAGCAAUAUGAUCUCCGUCCGGGCAGGUCUGGAGGUUACUCGAUAGCAAGUCAAUCAAGUGCUUAGCGCAACCCUUUUUUUUUCUUUUUUUUUUCUUUUUUU